RNAcentral lists this ribosomal RNA (497 nucleotides) under uncultured bacterium. Its description in RNAcentral is "partial 16S ribosomal RNA". It matches the Rfam family "Bacterial small subunit ribosomal RNA", at positions 28 to 507 of the family's 1533-position model. The record is from RNAcentral.
GAUGAACGCUGGCGGCGUGCCUAAUACAUGCAAGUCGAGCGAACGGACGAGAAGCUUGCUUCUCUGAUGUUAGCGGCGGACGGGUGAGUAACACGUGGAUAACCUACCUAUAAGACUGGGAUAACUUCGGGAAACCGGAGCUAAUACCGGAUAAUAUUUUGAACCGCAUGGUUCAAAAUUGAAAGACGGUCUUGCUUUCACUUAUAGAUGGAUCCGCGCUGCAUUAGCUAGUUGGUAAGGUAACGGCUAACCAAGGCAACGAUGCAUAGCCGACCUGAGAGGGUGAUCGGCCACACUGGAACUGAAACACGGUCCAGACUCCUACGGGAGGCAGCAGUAGGGAAUCUUCGGCAAUGGGCGAAAGCCUGACGGAGCAAGGCCGCGUGGGUGAUGAAGGUCUUCGGAUCGUAAAACUCGGUUAUUAGGGAAGAACAUAUGUGUAAGUAACUGUGCACAACUUGACGGUACCUAAUCAGAAAGCCACGGCUAACUACGUG